This 425-nucleotide ribosomal RNA is filed under the name uncultured bacterium. RNAcentral's name for it is "partial 16S ribosomal RNA". It matches the Rfam family "Bacterial small subunit ribosomal RNA", at positions 354 to 796 of the family's 1533-position model. The record is from RNAcentral.
GUGGGGAAUAUUGGACAAUGGGCGCAAGCCUGAUCCAGCCAUGCCGCGUGAGUGAUGAAGGCCUUAGGGUUGUAAAGCUCUUUUGUCCGGGAAGAUAAUGACUGUACCGGAAGAAUAAGCCCCGGCUAACUUCGUGCCAGCAGCCGCGGUAAUACGAAGGGGGCUAGCGUUGUUCGGAAUCACUGGGCGUAAAGCGCACGUAGGCGGACCAUUAAGUCAGGGGUGAAAGCCUGGAGCUCAACUCCAGAACUGCCUUUGAUAUUGAUGGUCUCGAGUAUGGAAGAGGUUGGUGGAACUGCGAGUGUAGAGGUGAAAUUCGUAGAUAUUCGCAAGAACACCGGUGGCGAAGGCGGCCAACUGGUCCAUUACUGACGCUGAGGUGCGAAAGCGUGGGGAGCAAACAGGAUUAGAAACCCCUGUAGUCC